UAGGGAAUAUUGCUUAAUGGGCGAAAGCCUGAAGCAGCAACGCCGCGUGUGCGAUGAAGGCCUUCGGGUUGUAAAGCACUUUUUGCUGGGAAGAGGAAGGACGGUACCAGCAGAAUAAGCCUCGGCUAACUACGUGCCAGCAGCCGCGGUAAAACGUAGGAGGCGAGCGUUAUCCGGAUUUACUGGGUGUAAAGCGCGUGCAGGCGGUUUGCUAAGUUGGGUGUGAAAGCUCCUGGCUCAACUGGGAGAGGUCGCUCAAGACUGGCAGACUAGAGAGCAGUAGGGGAAGGUGGAAUUCCGGGUGUAGUGGUGAAAUGCGUAGAUAUCCGGAGGAACACCAGUGGCGAAGGCGGCCUUCUGGACUGCAUCUGACGCUCAGACGCGAAAGCUAGGGUAGCAAACGG
Molecule: ribosomal RNA, 404 nt
Filed under: uncultured bacterium
Lineage: Bacteria
Description: bacterial SSU rRNA
Rfam family: Bacterial small subunit ribosomal RNA
Source: RNAcentral